RNAcentral lists this ribosomal RNA (446 nucleotides) under Leptopelis gramineus (Ethiopian burrowing tree frog). Its description in RNAcentral is "partial large subunit ribosomal RNA". It matches the Rfam family "Bacterial large subunit ribosomal RNA", at positions 1920 to 2534 of the family's 2925-position model. Lineage: Eukaryota; Metazoa; Chordata; Amphibia; Anura; Arthroleptidae. The record is from RNAcentral.
CAGUUUAACGGCCGCGGUACCCUAACCGUGCGAAGGUAGCAUAAUCACUUGUUUCUUAAAUAGAGACUAGUAUCAACGGCAUCACGAAGACUAUACUGUCUCCCCCCUAAAAUCAAUGAAACUGAUCUCCUCGUGAAGAAGCGAGGAUAUAUAUAUAAGACGAGAAGACCCCAUGGAGCUUUAAACGAACUUCAAUUGUUCCUACCCAUAACAUACAAAUUGAACACCCCUGAUAGUUAGUUUUAGGUUGGGGUGACCGCGGAGUAAAACAAAACCUCCACAAUGAAUGAAAUAAAAUUCUUAUAAAAGAACCACAAUUCUAAUAAUCAAAAAUUUGACAUAAAUUGACCCAAACACUUGAUCAAUGAACCAAGUUACCCUGGGGAUAACAGCGCAAUCCAUUUUAAGAGCCCAUAUCGACAAAUGGGUUUACGACCUCGAUGUUG